CAGGCCUAACACAUGCAAGUCGAACGAAGGCUUCGGCCUUAGUGGCGCACGGGUGCGUAACGCGUGGGAAUCUGCCCCUUGGUUCGGAAUAACAGUUAGAAAUGACUGCUAAUACCGGAUAACGACGUAAGUCCAAAGAUUUAUCGCCGAGGGAUGAGCCCGCGUAGGAUUAGCUAGUUGGUGUGGUAAAGGCGCACCAAGGCGACGAUCCUUAGCUGGUCUGAGAGGAUGAUCAGCCACACUGGGACUGAGACACGGCCCAGACUCCUACGGGAGGCAGCAGUGGGGAAUAUUGGACAAUGGGCGAAAGCCUGAUCCAGCAAUGCCGCGUGAGUGAUGAAGGCCUUAGGGUUGUAAAGCUCUUUUACCCGGGAUGAUAAUGACAGUACCGGGAGAAUAAGCCCCGGCUAACUCCGUGCCAGCAGCCGCGGUAAU
This 435-nucleotide ribosomal RNA is filed under the name uncultured bacterium. RNAcentral's name for it is "bacterial SSU rRNA". It matches the Rfam family "Bacterial small subunit ribosomal RNA", at positions 43 to 524 of the family's 1533-position model. The record is from RNAcentral.